GCUUGCUGGGUGGAUUAGUGGCGAACGGGUGAGUAACACGUGAGCAACCUGCCCCUGACUCUGGGAUAAGCGCUGGAAACGGCGUCUAAUACUGGAUACGAACAAGAAUCGCAUGGUUACUUGUUGGAAAGAUUUUUCGGUUGGGGAUGGGCUCGCGGCCUAUCAGCUUGUUGGUGAGGUAAUGGCUCACCAAGGCGUCGACGGGUAGCCGGCCUGAGAGGGUGACCGGCCACACUGGGACUGAGACACGGCCCAGACUCCUACGGGAGGCAGCAGUGGGGAAUAUUGCACAAUGGGCGCAAGCCUGAUGCAGCAACGCCGCGUGAGGGAUGACGGCCUUCGGGUUGUAAACCUCUUUUAGCAGGGAAGAAGCGAGAGUGACGGUACCUGCAGAAAAAGCACCGGCUAACUACGUGCCAGCAGCCGCGGUAAUACGUAGGGUGCAAGCGUUAUCCGGAAUUAUUGGGCGUAAAGAGCUCGUAGGCGGUUUGUCGCGUCUGCUGUGAAAUCUGGGGGCUCAACCCCCAGCCUGCAGUGGGUACGGGCAGACUAGAGUGCGGUAGGGGAGAUUGGAAUUCCUGGUGUAGCGGUGGAAUGCGCAGAUAUCAGGAGGAACACCGAUGGCGAAGGCAGAUCUCUGGGCCGUAACUGACGCUGAGGAGCGAAAGGGUGGGGAGCAAACAGGCUUAGAUACCCUGGUAGUCCACCCCGUAAACGUUGGGAACUAGUUGUGGGGUCCAUUCCACGGAUUCCGUGACGCAGCUAACGCAUUAAGUUCCCCGCCUGGGGAGUACGGCCGCAAGGCUAAAACUCAAAGGAAUUGACGGGGACCCGCACAAGCGGCGGAGCAUGCGGAUUAAUUCGAUGCAACGCGAAGAACCUUACCAAGGCUUGACAUAUACGAGAACGGGCCAGAAAUGGUCAACUCUUUGGACACUCGUAAACAGGUGGUGCAUGGUUGUCGUCAGCUCGUGUCGUGAGAUGUUGGGUUAAGUCCCGCAACGAGCGCAACCCUCGUUCUAUGUUGCCAGCACGUAAUGGUGGGAACUCAUGGGAUACUGCCGGGGUCAACUCGGAGGAAGGUGGGGAUGACGUCAAAUCAUCAUGCCCCUUAUGUCUUGGGCUUCACGCAUGCUACAAUGGCCGGUACAAUGGGCUGCAAUACCGUGAGGUGGAGCGAAUCCCAAAAAGCCGGUCCCAGUUCGGAUUGAGGUCUGCAACUCGACCUCAUGAAGUCGGAGUCGCUAGUAAUCGCAGAUCAGCAACGCUGCGGUGAAUACGUUCCCGGGUCUUGUACACACCGCCCGUCAAGUCAUGAAAGUCGGUAACACCUGAAGCCGG
RNAcentral lists this ribosomal RNA (1341 nucleotides) under Microbacterium sp. Its description in RNAcentral is "bacterial SSU rRNA". It matches the Rfam family "Bacterial small subunit ribosomal RNA", at positions 78 to 1430 of the family's 1533-position model. Lineage: Bacteria; Bacillati; Actinomycetota; Actinomycetes; Micrococcales; Microbacteriaceae. The record is from RNAcentral.